Molecule: ribosomal RNA, 254 nt
Filed under: uncultured bacterium
Lineage: Bacteria
Description: partial 16S ribosomal RNA
Rfam family: Bacterial small subunit ribosomal RNA
Source: RNAcentral
UACGGAGGGUGCAAGCGUUAUCCGGACUCACUGGGUUUAAAGGGCGCGUAGGCGGUCAGCACAAGUCAGUCGUGAAAUCUCCGGGCUUAACUCGGAAAGGUCAACUGAUACUGUGCGACUAGAGUGCAGAAGGGGCAACUGGAAUUCUCGGUGUAGCGGUGAAAUGCGUAGAUAUCGAGAGGAACACCUGCGGCGAAGGCGGGUUGCUGGGCUGAUACUGACGCUGAGGCGCGAAAGCGUGGGGAGCAAACAGG